CCUUUGCUCCAGACCACAACGUCAGGGAUGUCACUCGUCAGACGUCCCGGCAGCCAGCGCUGCUCAUUAAGCCUGCCAGAGCCGCACUGAUCUGUCCAAUCAGAGAGCAGCACUACUGAAAUAGAACUCUCAGGAGGUAACAGCGUGUCACACAUGUGAUGUCAUAGCCAUUGUCCACCAGAGAGCAGCACUGAGCAGAUAUAACACUGCUCCUGCUCAUUCUUCAUCAGUGAGGGGCUGAUGCUGGACACUGUAGGGACCGAGAAUGCAAAGUCAUAUACACUACUGUGACUGAUGCAUUAUUUCCAGGAUGUGGAGUAGCAUUUCCGGACCUACAGCAAGACGUUGGAUGAAGACGUGGAUUUCCAGACCUAGCAAGAAUUUGGAUGAAGGCACAGCCUCUCGAAUCACGUACAUACACAGACACAUUGGCCCAAAUUCUAGAGGUAACCUCCUUUAGUAUGCCCAGAGGAAGGGCAAUACAGUAGCCAUGGAUUCCCUACAGGUUUACUCCCCUCUGGAGGUUUUUCCUGUCCUGAGUAUUAGUUACUGUACGCUCUUUGUGAGUGAUGGAGGUUACAUAAAAUCCCUACACAAACAUUUUAAUAUAUAAUAAAUAAAGUUCC
This is a long non-coding RNA of Hyla sarda, 626 nucleotides long. RefSeq lists it as uncharacterized. The transcript has 3 exons. Lineage: Eukaryota; Metazoa; Chordata; Amphibia; Anura; Hylidae. The record is from RefSeq and is a predicted model, not a curated record.